Molecule: non-coding RNA, 72 nt
Organism: Phrynosoma platyrhinos (Desert horned lizard)
Lineage: Eukaryota; Metazoa; Chordata; Lepidosauria; Squamata; Phrynosomatidae
Source: the annotation of a GenBank genome assembly
GCCAGAGUGGUGCAGUGGUUUGAGCGUCUGACUGUGACUCUGGAGACCAUGCUUUGAUUCCCUGCUCAGUCA